Molecule: transfer RNA, 37 nt
Filed under: Blaesodactylus antongilensis
Lineage: Eukaryota; Metazoa; Chordata; Lepidosauria; Squamata; Gekkonidae
Description: partial tRNA-Tyr
Source: RNAcentral
UUGUAGCCUCGCAGAUGGAGGAAGGAUGCCUCCCGCU